GACGAACGCUGGCGGCGUGCCUAAUACAUGCAAGUAGAACGCACAGUCUAUGCCGUAGCUUGCUACACCAUAGGCUGUCAGGUGAGAAACACGGGGUUACGCGUAGCUAAACUGCGUGGUAGCGGUGGUUAACUAGUUGAAAUGAUAGCUAGUACAGCGUAUUAUAUAUUAUUGUAUGAUGAUUUUCUGAAUGGUGCAAUUGCACCACUACCCGACGUAUUUGCGUUGUAUUAGCUAGUAGGUGAGGUAACGGCUCACCUAGGCGACGAUACAUAGCCGACCUGAGAGGGUGAGCGGCCACACUGGGACUGUGACACGGCCCAGACGCCUACGGGAGGCAGCAGUAGGGAAUCUUCGGCAAGAGGCGAAAGACAGACCGAGCAACGCGGCGGGAGUGAAGAAGGAUGUCGGAUCGGAAAGCUCGGUCGUAAGGUAAGAACGGGUGUGAGAGUGGAAAGUUCACACUGUGACGGUAGCUUACCAGAAAGGGACGGCUAACUACGUG
This 505-nucleotide ribosomal RNA is filed under the name uncultured bacterium. RNAcentral's name for it is "partial 16S ribosomal RNA". It matches the Rfam family "Bacterial small subunit ribosomal RNA", at positions 28 to 507 of the family's 1533-position model. The record is from RNAcentral.